GGUUCGCACCUGUACGGCUGGCGAGUAGGGCAGAUUCUAUCAGAGGAACACGAUUGCAGGCAAGUCUAAUCCCAGUCUUAGGCCUUAAAAUUGUGUAGAUGUGUGUUUCUUUGAAGUGAUCCGAAAUAUUAGUGGAAAAAGGCAAUAUCUUUCGAAAGAUAAAGGAUUUGGAAGUUUUUUUAGUCGUUUCUGCGGCCAGACAGCCAGUCAGCCGUAAUAUCUAUCUGUCUUGAGUGGGUACAGUGCAUAGUGAUGCAGGCAAACAGUUUUUGGUGUUUGUAUAGAGUGAUCCGAAAUAGAGGUAGAACACGAUCAUAUUUUUUUUAGAAGUUGAAGACACUAGUGUUAUAAAAAUGAUAUUAUUUCCAUUGUUUGAACGGCCCAACGGCCAGCCAUAUUUUCGGCCGGUUUGUAAACAGGACCGACCCAAUGGAUAUUCAUAUAUACGGACAUGCAUAUACACAGAAAUAAAUGCUUAUCUUUCUAUCUCAUAGGUAUACACUUAUCUGUCUAUCUAUUCGGUAAAUAUGCAUGUCGAGUCAGGUACAGUGUAAAGUGUUCCAGGCAGAAGUCUUAUAAUUCAUUCAUGAAAUACACCCUGGAGCUUGCCCCUGCUUAUCUUUGUUUUAACAGAAGAUUCUAGAUCUCUAUGGCGUCGCGUGAUACAAUGAGCCAAACGUUUUGGUCCAGACCGAACGCGUUUCGUUCCUGUGCGGCUGACGGGUGGGGCAGCUCGCCAGUCCCGUUCACACCAACGCAUUGGGAGUAAG
This is a non-coding RNA of Penaeus vannamei (Pacific white shrimp), 770 nucleotides long. Lineage: Eukaryota; Metazoa; Arthropoda; Malacostraca; Decapoda; Penaeidae. The record is from RefSeq and is a predicted model, not a curated record.